UACGAAGGGUGCAAGCGUUAAUCGGAAUUACUGGGCGUAAAGCGCGCGUAGGCGGCUACUCAAGUCAGAGGUGAAAGCCCGGGGCUCAACCCCGGAACUGCCUUUGAAACUAGGUAGCUAGAAUCUUGGAGAGGUCAGUGGAAUUCCGAGUGUAGAGGUGAAAUUCGUAGAUAUUCGGAAGAACACCAGUGGUGAAGGCGACUGACUGGACAAGUAUUGACGCUGAGGUGCGAAAGCGUGGGGAGCAAACAGGAUUAGAAACCCCCUGUAGU
This 272-nucleotide ribosomal RNA is filed under the name uncultured bacterium. RNAcentral's name for it is "partial 16S ribosomal RNA". It matches the Rfam family "Bacterial small subunit ribosomal RNA", at positions 524 to 794 of the family's 1533-position model. The record is from RNAcentral.